CACCGCGCCCCGCGCCAGCCCUCAGACAAAGCCUCGGACCCCGGGCCCGCCCGGCCGCCCACCCCGGGACGCGCCCCGGCCCGCGCCUACCUUGAUGCCCUGCUGCUGCGUGGUGAGGGUUAACUUGGACUCGUUCAGCAGCAGCACUUCGCAGUAGAAUUCCUCGGGAACGGCGCAGAAGCAGCCCAUGUCGGCCGCGGCCGUCUCCGGCCGGCAGAGGAAGCCGCGACCCAGGCGCCGAGCCGCCCCCUCCCCUCAAGCGUGAGGCAUUAAUUCACGGUCCGCGCGGCGGCCGGCGCGACAAGACCGGUUCCGGCGGGGUCCAGGGCCACGCGGACGAGCCGCCCGGCGCCCGCGGAGGUAAGAAGGGCGGAGCAGCCCGCGGACUCAGCGCCCGGGAGCCGCCGGGGCAGCGCCGGCGGAACUGAGCGCGGAGGGCGGCGGCGCGUCCCCGCGCAUCCUGCGGCUCGGGCCCCUCCCGCAGUCCUGGGGACGACGAAAGUCGCUUGGCAGUGGGGGCGAGAAACGGGAAAAGGGAGGGACGGAGCUCGAGGCCCUCCCCAGACGAGGAGCCCCGGGAGCCGUGCAGCCCCUCAGCCGGUGCCGCCCGGAGCGCGGCCGCGACACCCGGCCUUCCUUCCCUGAGGAGACCCCGGCGGGCUCCCACCCCCAGCCCCCGGUGCGGCCCGCCGAUCCGGGAGCACUCGGCUGCUCCUUUGUGUCAGGGGCACCCACGACGUCCCGGUUCCUCUGCAGGGCCGGCGGGGGGGGGUCGUCGCUCAGGCAGCUCCCUCCGCCAGCGCGUCCCGCGGGCACCCAGCAGCCCCGAGAGCGUCGGAAAGGGCAGCGCGCUCCUCACCCAGACCCGCGAGGGCAAGUCAGCUCUUGGCGGGGCGCGGCCGCCGUCUGGGGACCCGGGAGCUCAUCCUGGGGGGCUGCGCGUGGCCAAGUUCGAGCUCGCUCUCCGAGAGCGCCUUGCUGUGGCGGCGGAGGGGGGCUCCUCCGGGAGAUUCGGGCGAGUGGGGAGUCGGAGGGCUUGCGGGCGCGCCGGCGGGCGGAGCAGCGGGAGCCCGAGCUGGGAACGCGCCGGCGGGCG
This 1096-nucleotide long non-coding RNA is filed under the name Ursus americanus (American black bear). RNAcentral describes it as "lncRNA (ENSUAMG00000000012.1)". Lineage: Eukaryota; Metazoa; Chordata; Mammalia; Carnivora; Ursidae. The record is from RNAcentral.